Molecule: ribosomal RNA, 253 nt
Filed under: uncultured bacterium
Lineage: Bacteria
Description: partial 16S ribosomal RNA
Rfam family: Bacterial small subunit ribosomal RNA
Source: RNAcentral
UACGUAGGCAGCGAGCGUUGUUCGGAGUUACUGGGCGUAAAGAGUGCGUAGGCGGUUUUCUAAGUUUGGUGUGAAAUCUCCCGGCUUAACUGGGAGGGUGCGCCGAAGACUGGAAGGCUUGAGUAUGGGAGAGGUAAGCGGAAUUCCUGGUGUAGCGGUGAAAUGCGCAGAUAUCAGGAGGAACAUCUAUUGCGAAGGCAGCUCGCUGGGACGUAACUGACGCUGAGACGCGAAAGCGUGGGGAGCAAACAGG